RNAcentral lists this ribosomal RNA (253 nucleotides) under uncultured bacterium. RNAcentral describes it as "partial 16S ribosomal RNA". It matches the Rfam family "Bacterial small subunit ribosomal RNA", at positions 524 to 776 of the family's 1533-position model. The record is from RNAcentral.
UACGUAGGGUCCGAGCGUUGUCCGGAAUUAUUGGGCGUAAAGGGCUCGUAGGCGGUUUGUCGCGUCGGGAGUGAAAACCUACAUCUUAACUGUGGGCUUGCUUUCGAUACGGGCAGACUUGAGGCAUGCAGGGGAGAACGGAAUUCCUGGUGUAGCGGUGAAAUGCGCAGAUAUCAGGAGGAACACCGGUGGCGAAGGCGGUUCUCUGGGCAUGUUCUGACGCUGAGGAGCGAAAGUGUGGGGAGCGAACAGG